This 497-nucleotide ribosomal RNA is filed under the name uncultured bacterium. RNAcentral describes it as "partial 16S ribosomal RNA". It matches the Rfam family "Bacterial small subunit ribosomal RNA", at positions 28 to 507 of the family's 1533-position model. The record is from RNAcentral.
GAUGAACGCUGGCGGCGUGCCUAAUACAUGCAAGUCGAGCGAACAGAUGAGGAGCUUGCUCCUCUGACGUUAGCGGCGGACGGGUGAGUAACACGUGGAUAACCUACCUAUAAGACUGGGAUAACUUCGGGAAACCGGAGCUAAUACCGGAUAAUAUAUUGAACCGCAUGGUUCAAUAGUGAAAGACGGUUUUGCUGUCACUUAUAGAUGGAUCCGCGCCGCAUUAGCUAGUUGGUAUGGUACCGGCUUACCAAGGCAACGAUGCGUAGCCGACCUGAGAGGGUGAUCGGCCACACUGGAACUGAGAACCGGUCCAGACUCCUACGGGAGGCAGCAGUAGGGAAUCUUCCGCAAUGGGCGAAAGCCUGACGGAGCAACGCCGCGUGAGUGAUGAAGGUCUUCGGAUCGUAAAACUCUGUUAUUAGGGAAGAACAAAUGUGUAAGUAACUAUGCACGUCUUGACGGUACCUAAUCAGAAAGCCACGGCUAACUACGUG